Molecule: long non-coding RNA, 358 nt
Filed under: Chrysolophus pictus (golden pheasant)
Lineage: Eukaryota; Metazoa; Chordata; Aves; Galliformes; Phasianidae
Description: lncRNA (ENSCPIG00010012766.1)
Source: RNAcentral
CUCUGAAGAGGCCACUUGGGAGACAAUAAAGAAUCAUGGGUUAUCUGAGGUAAUGAAGGUAUGACAAGAAUGAAAGCUUCAUACCAUCAAGCAGGCAAGAUUCCUACUGCUCAUGGGACAGUGUGACCCAAAGCUCAGUGUCAGUGCUGAGAUAAGAACUACAAGCCUUACCAGAUCCUCUCCUGAAGGAGCCACAGAAAAUGCCCAUGUAAAUGGCUGACACGUGGCAGAGAGCUCCAUAGCUUAACUGGAUUUGCAGAUGCAUAAAGACCUAUCUUCCUUCUCCUGCUCUGAACCCACCUCCAGCUGACUCCAGCUGAUGUCCUGCAGCUCUCAGAACAUUGCAAGGUACUGUCUG